RNAcentral lists this ribosomal RNA (1145 nucleotides) under Salmonella enterica. RNAcentral's name for it is "partial 23S ribosomal RNA". It matches the Rfam family "Bacterial large subunit ribosomal RNA", at positions 68 to 1251 of the family's 2925-position model. Lineage: Bacteria; Pseudomonadati; Pseudomonadota; Gammaproteobacteria; Enterobacterales; Enterobacteriaceae. The record is from RNAcentral.
GCGAUAAGCGCCGGUAAGGUGAUAUGAACCGUUAUAACCGGCGAUACCCGAAUGGGGAAACCCAGUGUGAUUCGUCACACUAUCAUUAACUGAAUCCAUAGGUUAAUGAGGCGAACCGGGGGAACUGAAACAUCUAAGUACCCCGAGGAAAAGAAAUCAACCGAGAUUCCCCCAGUAGCGGCGAGCGAACGGGGAGGAGCCCAGAGCCUGAAUCAGCAUGUAUGUUAGUGGAAGCGUCUGGAAAGGCGCGCGAUACAGGGUGACAGCCCCGUACACAAAAGCGCAUGUGCUGUGAGCUCGAUGAGUAGGGCGGGACACGUGGUAUCCUGUCUGAAUAUGGGGGGACCAUCCUCCAAGGCUAAAUACUCCUGACUGACCGAUAGUGAACCAGUACCGUGAGGGAAAGGCGAAAAGAACCCCGGCGAGGGGAGUGAAAAAGAACCUGAAACCGUGUACGUACAAGCAGUGGGAGCACAGGUUUACCUGUGUGACUGCGUACCUUUUGUAUAAUGGGUCAGCGACUUAUAUUCUGUAGCAAGGUUAACCGAAUAGGGGAGCCGGAGGGAAACCGAGUCUUAACCGGGCGUUAAGUUGCAGGGUAUAGACCCGAAACCCGGUGAUCUAGCCAUGGGCAGGUUGAAGGUUGGGUAACACUAACUGGAGGACCGAACCGACUAAUGUUGAAAAAUUAGCGGAUGACCUGUGGCUGGGGGUGAAAGGCCAAUCAAACCGGGAGAUAGCUGGUUCUCCCCGAAAGCUAUUUAGGUAGCGCCUCGUGAACUCAUCUCCGGGGGUAGAGCACUGUUUCGGCUAGGGGGCCAUCCCGGCUUACCAACCCGAUGCAAACUGCGAAUACCGGAGAAUGUUAUCACGGGAGACACACGGCGGGUGCUAACGUCCGUCGUGAAGAGGGAAACAACCCAGACCGCCAGCUAAGGUCCCAAAGUCAUGGUUAAGUGGGAAACGAUGUGGGAAGGCCCAGACAGCCAGGAUGUUGGCUUAGAAGCAGCCAUCAUUUAAAGAAAGCGUAAUAGCUCACUGGUCGAGUCGGCCUGCGCGGAAGAUGUAACGGGGCUAAACCAUGCACCGAAGCUGCGGCAGCGACACUCAGGUGUCGUUGGGUAGGGGAGCGUUCUGUAAGCCUG